GGAUUAGAUACCCUGGUAGUCCACGCCGUAAACGAUGUCUACUAGUCGUUGGGUCCCUUGAGGACUUAGUGACGCAGCUAACGCAAUAAGUAGACCGCCUGGGGAGUACGGCCGCAAGGUUAAAACUCAAAUGAAUUGACGGGGGCCCGCACAAGCGGUGGAGCAUGUGGUUUAAUUCGAUGCAACGCGAAGAACCUUACCUGGUCUUGACAUAUCUAGAAUCCUGCAGAGAUGCGGGAGUGCCUUCGGGAAUUAGAAUACAGGUGCUGCAUGGCUGUCGUCAGCUCGUGCC
RNAcentral lists this ribosomal RNA (292 nucleotides) under uncultured bacterium. RNAcentral's name for it is "partial 16S ribosomal RNA". It matches the Rfam family "Bacterial small subunit ribosomal RNA", at positions 775 to 1066 of the family's 1533-position model. The record is from RNAcentral.